GAUGAACGCUGGCGGCGUGCUUAACACAUGCAAGUCGAACGGACAGGUCCGGCUCUUGCUCGGUGCUCGUGAGGCGCACGCGGGAGAGAAACGCGAGUAAAACGCACCUGUAUGAGGGGUAUAACCUCGGGAAAGGGGCUCUUAUCCGGUAGGAGCUAUUGCUGCACGGGGUGGGUUGGUAAGUGUCGGUGGUUCGGGCUGUUGUGGAUGGAUGCGAGCCUGAUGAGCUGGUUGGGAGAGUACCGGCUUACGAAGGCUACGAUGGGUAGCCGACCUACGAGGGUGACCGGGCACAUUGGGACUGAGAGAGGGAGCAGACUGCUACGUGAGGCAGAAGUGGGGAAUAUUGCACAAUGGGCGGAAGCCUGAUACAGCAGCGCCGCGUGCGGGAUGACGGCCUUCGGGUGAUAAACCGCUUUCGCCUGUGACAAAGAGGGAGUGACGGUAAUGGGUAAGGAAGCCCCGGCUAACUACGUG
This 477-nucleotide ribosomal RNA is filed under the name uncultured bacterium. RNAcentral describes it as "partial 16S ribosomal RNA". It matches the Rfam family "Bacterial small subunit ribosomal RNA", at positions 28 to 507 of the family's 1533-position model. The record is from RNAcentral.